CGGACCUCAGAUCAGACAAGAC
Molecule: ribosomal RNA, 22 nt
Filed under: Symbiezidium dentatum
Lineage: Eukaryota; Viridiplantae; Streptophyta; Jungermanniopsida; Porellales; Lejeuneaceae
Description: partial 26S ribosomal RNA
Source: RNAcentral